CGUUACACACCGCCCGUCACACCAUGGGAGUUGGUUUCACCCGAAGGUGGUGCGCUAACCCGCAAGGGAGGCAGCCAACCACGGUGGGAUCAGCGACUGGGGUG
RNAcentral lists this ribosomal RNA (104 nucleotides) under uncultured bacterium. RNAcentral describes it as "partial 16S ribosomal RNA". It matches the Rfam family "Bacterial small subunit ribosomal RNA", at positions 1381 to 1482 of the family's 1533-position model. The record is from RNAcentral.